Molecule: ribosomal RNA, 497 nt
Filed under: uncultured bacterium
Lineage: Bacteria
Description: partial 16S ribosomal RNA
Rfam family: Bacterial small subunit ribosomal RNA
Source: RNAcentral
GAUGAACGCUGGCGGCGUGCCUAAUACAUGCGAGUCGAGCGAACAUACGAGGAGCUUGCUCCUCUGACGUUAGCGGCUCACGGUUUAGUCACACGUGGUUAACCUACCUAUAAGACUGUGAUUACUUCGGGAAACCGGAGCUAAUACCGGACAAUCUAUUUACCCGCAUGGUUCACUAGUGCAAGCCGCUUUUGCUGUCACUUAUCGAUGGAUCCGCGCCGCAUUAGCUAGUUGGUAAGGUAACGGCUUACCAAGGCAACGAUGCGUAGCCGACCUGCGAGGGUGAUCGGCCACACUGGAACUGAGACACGGUCCAGACUCCUACGGGAGGCAGCAGUAGGGAAUCUUCCGCAAGGGGCGAAAGAGUGACGGAGCAACGCCGCGUGAGUGAUGAAGGUCUUCGGAUCGUAAAACUCUGUUAUUAGGGAAGAACAAAUGUGUAAGUAACUAUGCACGUCUUGACGGUACCUAAUCAGAAAGCCACGGCUAACUACGUG